CGGUUAAAGCUCGUCGUUGGAUUUCUGUUGAGGUCGAACAGUGCCGCCCUAUGGGUGCGCAACUGGCUCGGCUUCGGCAUCUUCUUGGAGAGCGUAUCUGCACUUAACUGUGUGGAUCGUACUUCAAGUCAGUUACUUUGAGGAAUUGUGAGUGUUUCAAGCAGGCUUACGCCGUUGAAUCCGUUAGCAUGGAAUAAUAGAAUAGGACCUCGGUUCUAUUUUGUUGGUUUUGAGAGCUGGGGCAGCGAUUGAUAGGGACGGAUGGGGGCGUCCGAACUUUACUGUCAGAGGUGAAAUUCUUAGAUCGGUCAAAGGCGAACUACUGCGAACGCAUUCGCCAAGAAUGUUUUCUUUAAUCAAGAACGAAAGUUAGGGGAUCGAAGACGAUCAGAUACCGUCCUAGUCUUAACCAUAAACGUUACUGACUAGAGAUUGGAGGUUGUGAUUCACAAACUCCAUCAGCACCUCUAUGUGUAAACAAAGUCUUUGAGUUCUGGGGGGAGUAUGGUCGCAAGACUGAAAACUUAAAGGAAUUGACGGAAGGGCACCACCA
RNAcentral lists this ribosomal RNA (553 nucleotides) under uncultured eukaryote. RNAcentral's name for it is "SSU rRNA". It matches the Rfam family "Eukaryotic small subunit ribosomal RNA", at positions 616 to 1172 of the family's 1831-position model. The record is from RNAcentral.